This is a long non-coding RNA of Parus major (Great Tit), 918 nucleotides long. RefSeq lists it as uncharacterized. The transcript has 2 exons. NCBI's taxonomy places the organism in Eukaryota, Metazoa, Chordata, Aves, Passeriformes, Paridae. The record is from RefSeq and is a predicted model, not a curated record.
GUCCCCGCAGCGCCGCUCCGGAGGGGAAGGCGGGCGGGAGAGGCUCAUCCGCUUCCUGGAUCACCGGGCAGGCAUUACCGCUUCCGGGGAGCGCCGCCGCCGGGCCACCCGGAAAAGGGGGAAUGCGGCGGGCGAUGAAGGGAAGCGCGGCCCGGCACCGGAGGGAGCUCCCGGCAUGCGGGGACCCGGGGCGGGGCUGCCCCUGAGGGAGGGCCCGAGGCGCCCGAGGGUCGGAGCACCCCGGGCCGCCCUGGUCGGUGACGGCCGGCGUGAACGGGGUCAGUCACGGAAUGGUCGGGGUUGGAGUGACCGGAGGAGAUCACUCGGUCCAUCCCCCUGCCCACACAAGGUCACCCAGAGCAGGUGACACGAGGAUGCGUCCAGGUAGCUCUGAAAUGUCUCCAGAGAGGGAGACUCCACACCCUCCCUGUGCAGCUCUUCCAGAGCUCUGCCACCCUCAAUGGAAAGAAUUCCUCCUUGUGUAGGGGUGAAACUUCUCGUGUUUUAGUUUAUGCCCUUUGCUCCUUGUCCUGUCGCUGUACACCACCGAAGAGGCUGGCACCAUCCUCUUGACACCCUCCUGGGAGAUGUUUAUUUGUAUGGGAGUUCUGUGAGGCAUUGGUGGACUUCAUGGGUAGCUGCCCGAUGUGUCAUUCCCAUGGCUGUUCCUGGCUAGUUCAGUGGGAGUCAGAGCAUUAGGGAUCUAUUUUCCACUGACUACAAAUAUAUAAGUAAAUAUAACCCUUGAAGUUUAAUGAUUUAUAAUGUAGGGUUUUAAAUGGAUAGAGAUAAUAACACCCCAUUACACUUCUGUUGAGUCUAAUUAGUGGUAUUAGAUCCAUAAAAUUGACCCUUGUUUUACUUUGCACUGAGAUGCUAUUCCUUUCUUUUAAAUAAAUCUCCUGUUCACCUUGGUCA